AAUCUUAUAUUCAAAUAGGUAUAUGAUAUUAAGUUGCAAAUUUAAAGGUAUUAAUUCAUUAAUUAAGGUUU
Molecule: transfer RNA, 71 nt
Filed under: Acyrthosiphon pisum (pea aphid)
Lineage: Eukaryota; Metazoa; Arthropoda; Insecta; Hemiptera; Aphididae
Rfam family: tRNA
About the family: Transfer RNA (tRNA) molecules are approximately 80 nucleotides in length.
Source: Rfam by way of RNAcentral